RNAcentral lists this long non-coding RNA (4310 nucleotides) under Citrus x clementina. RNAcentral's name for it is "Citrus clementina (C. clementina) long non-coding RNA (CCLE_LNC004625)". The record is from RNAcentral. Lineage: Eukaryota; Viridiplantae; Streptophyta; Magnoliopsida; Sapindales; Rutaceae.
AAUAUCUCAAAUAUUGAAAAAUUAUCAGUCAUUCAUCUUAAGUUUACCCUAUAAGCAAAUACAACAAAGUUUUGAAUUUGUUCAAUUAUUCGCUGUAAAUUUUGUAACUUGUAUCAACCAUCUACCAAAAUAUUAAUUAUCAUUUAUAAUUGAUGACGUUACAAAGAUAAUUAAAACAUUUAACAUGCUUGAUAAAAUAAUAAAAUAAUAAAAUAAUACUUUAGAAUAUGAAAACAUUCAAUUAAAUACACUUAAUAGUGUAAUUUCUUUCCUAAUUUUUAAAAAUGCUUUCUAAAUCACAAAUUUACAUAAUCAAACACCAUGCACAAAUUAUCAUAAACUCUUAUUUAUAAACACUCAAUCAAUCUAAUUCUUAAAUUCGAUUUUAUAAAUACUCAAUCAAACCUAUUUUACAGUGUCAUAACCACCAUUGUCUUUGAUCGUCGCUGCCGCUAUCGUUUCUACUAGCAUUAUAGAUUGCUACAACCAUGAUAAGACUCCUCAGUGGCCGGUCUUUGUAGCCCAAUGCAUGUUUUUAUCAAGUAACACAAAAAUGUUAGAGGAUUUAGUGAUAAAUGAUCUAAUACAAAAUUUGUGUUGUCUUUGCGAACCUAAAAAUUUAUAUAGAGACAAUAUAAGGAAGAAGACAAUGAGAUGUAUUUUAUAUUGUUUUUGGUUUUGUGUGGCUGAGGAAGGAUUUGAUACAAAUUGUGUAUACGGCUCAAAAUUGUUGGUGGAUUUUGAUUUGAAACAAAGAGUUUACUAGGUUGUUGGGUUUUGAUAUUUUAUUUUUUAAAAUAUUGUUUUAUUAUUCACGGUGCAAAUAAAAAAAUAAAAGCCCUUGAAUUUAAGGGUAAAAAUGAUUAUUUUACUUACAUUUUGUUAAAUAUUAUAACAAUGUUAAUAUUUUGGUGACGGUUAAUAUAAAUUCUAAAUUUAGGAUAGAAAAUUCAAUAAAAUUCAAAAUUUUAUAGCAUUUUUUUUUUUGUAUAAAAGAAUAAAUUUAAAGUGAAUGAUAGACCGUUACCUAAAUUGAAAGAUACUUUUAAAUAUUCUUAUCGUGUAAAUCUUUUAGUUGACAAUUGACACAAAUUACAAAUUUAAAGUUCAACAAUGUCAAGUGCAAUGGACUCUGGCUUGUUCUUAACUUCUUAUAAUCAUACAAGACCCAACGUUAACGUCAAUCAAAUGCAAUUUCAAAAUCCAUUAUUAUCACACAUAUAAAUCUGUCCAUCUACAAAACACGAAAUACGAAUUGCACAUUUUUGGUUCUUAAAACAAUUUCUUACUCCUUUGAAUUGUAAUUUACAUGACGCCAAACAGUAGUUGAAUGGAAGCAUUGUGAAUAUUGAAUAAUAGCAUUUUAUUUGAUUUGAUGUGUGUGAAAUUUAGGAGGACCACAUAAACUUUAGUCCACAAUGCUUCGGGACCAGGGUGUUCCCCCGCCGCGAAUAUUCACGUAUAAAUACUUCUAUGAAUAAACGAUUUGUUGUUAUAUUUUAGUCAUGCACGGGCCUUCUUGCGGCUUUAGGACAUGGGCAUCUCAAAUCCCAAUUGCGAACGCUUUGAAUUCGUCAUGAUUUCCUUUUCCUGAGAAAGAAAAAGUUAACAAACCUGGAGGUUGCCUCAGGGAUACUCUUACCAUAUAAUUUGAAAUUUUGAUGGCAUUUUCCCCUGAAGGGAUAAUUCUUGGCUCUGUGCUUUUUACCUGCUUCAAGUUGGAAAGCUCCCCCUAGAUGGUCCAUCCAAUUGCUUGAGAUCAUAAAUUAUUUCACAUGAUCUUUCUUUGUCCACUACUUCAUUUUGCAACUAGCUGCCGACGAUUUGCGAUAGACCCCAAUUUAACCGAAAUUACACAAGUGAGAAAUCACUUUUGUCUUGGGAUAAUAGGCUUGUAUGAGCGGGAUUCAUUAUCUGUGUACAGUGAUGCCUUAAUUGUCAUUAUCCCUUUUUUAUCCAAAAAAGAAAAAUCAUUAUUUGGAAUAUUUUAUACGUGUUGAUUGCUGGCUGACUCUGCUGUGCCCAAUUAAUGUGUAUAAUAACUAUACAAGUGUGGAAUCAUUAGGCCACUACAGGGUGAUAGAUGAUCUGACGAGCACUUGUCUAAUAUACGAGAGUACUUGGACACGCGGUGUAUUUUUGUUUAAAAUUUUAAGCUUUAGAUUAAUUGGAUAAUGCCACGUAGUACUGUCAUUUAUCAUCAGAUAAACACCGUCGUCUAUUAAAUCAUUAUAUAAUAAGAAAAAAACAUAUUUAUGAAUAAUAAAAAAAAGAGUAAAUUAAGAUAUAUAAAAUUUCUCACACAUGUACAUUCAUAUAUUUUAUAUGUAAAUUUAGCAACAUGUAUUUUAAAUAAUUUAAUAUUACGAAGUUAAGGUCUAAUUCUAAUAGUAAAGAGUAGUCUUACUAGAUUUCAGGUCCUAGAUUUGAGUUUUAAUUGGUUUUUUUUUUUUUUUGGUGUGUGUAUACAUAGACACAUAUAUGUAUAUAAUAUUAUGAACUUAUUAUAAUUAUUCCUUGAAAGUUAGGGGAUUUAUAAAAUUUAUGGGUGGAAAUAUCAUCACCCAUUAUAACAUAGGCAAAAUUUGAAAUUUGAAUCACCCUCUCAUGAAAAUGAUAAUCUUUAGAAUACCUGCCAAACUAUUUUAAACCUCAACUUACACCCCAUUUUUGUUAAGAAGUAAAAAAAAAAAAUUAUCAACUUGGCCCCAUUUUUUUAUUAUCUUUCUAACAAAAAUGAGGGUAGAUUGAAGUUUACAAUAAUUUGUAUUUUAAAGAUUAUUAUUUUAUAAGGGGGUGAUUUAAAUUUCAAAAUUUGUCCAUACUAUAAUGGGUGGUGAUGCUUCCGCCCACAAAUUUUUUAAAUCCCCCAACUUCCAAGAAAUAAUUAUAAUUAUUUCAUAAUAUUUAUAAAAAUAUGUAAAUAAAGAAGAAGUUUGGAAACUUAAUCAAAUAAAAUUUAACAACAAACUAUUAGAUAGAAGAGCUCAUGUUUCUUGGGUAAUUUAAUCAUUUUAUAUCAUUAGGGUAAAAUAGCCAAAUCAAACUUAUCCUAGAAUAGCAUUAAUAGCCAAACAUAUAUAUAUAUAUAUACACACACACGCACACUUCGAAUUCCCACAGACACAAUUAAAGAUGUAGAUCACGGAAUGAAAAAUUCCACACAAAAGAAGUAUGAUAAAUAUGAUGCAAUUCUCAAUAAAUUGGCAACAUUAAAUUGAAGGAGACAAAAUAAUAUUAUGAAAAGAAAGAAAGUCUAUAGUAAUUUUACAAUAAAAAAUUACUUACUUUAGUUAAAAAAUACUUUAUUUUAGUUAAAAAAUAUAUAUUCUAAUUAGUAUAUUUUAUCUAAUACAAUAUCAAAAAAUAUAUAUAUUUUUUACUAAAAAAUAUAUUUUGAUACAAUAUAUUUUAUCAUUGAAAUCUUUACAUUUUUAUCUUUCAAAAUAUUAGGGGAUUAAAAAUACUAUAUAUAUAUAUAUAUAUAUAUAUAUAUAUAUGACAAUCUCUAUCUUACAUACAUGUAAAAUACACUCCCUUCACAUGAAUAGUGUAUGUGUGGGAAUUCCGGUCAAUGCUGUAUUGCUGUUGUUUGUACACACACCAAGGGUGCAUUUGGCUGGGGGGAGUUGAGGCCGUACAAAUAACGCGACACAUAUAAUAACAUUUCUUUCCGGGGGCAUUUUUUUAAUCUCCAUUUUCAAUCUUUUUAUUUGUUGAAAAAGAAAAUCAAAUGAAAGAUCGCAAAGCAAACACGGCCUAAGAUGCUGCGUACAUGCGGACACGAAACUAAAUGAUAUUGGUACAGACAUGGGCUUGAUAUUGUUUGUGGGCUCCAACCACAACCAGUAUAAGUACUGGGCACCGUGUCUCCAAUGGUGGGCCUCCUAGAAUAAUUCUGUCUGCCAUGAAAUUACAAAUUUGGCCUUUCAUUUUUUUCUUUUUCCUUUCAAGGAGACAAACCUUUCGUUCUUAGAUGCUAACGAAGCUCGUCAACUUUGAAGGCCCCGCAGACCAAUAUCCCUCGUAGAUGUCUCCCAAUAAUUUAUAGGAGUAGUUUUUUUAACUUAUGUCUCCACAGAUAUUUAGGAUGCAUUUCAUAUGAGCGUAUCUAAACACACUGAUAUUAAUUCAUAAUGUAUAUAUUUAUUAUAUAACAAUUAGAGGAAGAGAAAAAUAAUAAUAAUAACUGAGGUUAUUUCAUGUAUCCAUCCAUCCAUCCCUUGAUACCAUAUUACCAUCCAUCAGAUAAUCGGAUAACAUUAAAAAAUCUUUUGAUGAACUUUUGUAAAAGAUUUAUGAUAUUAUUU